AAGAUACUAGUAAAAUAUAUUACACUGCCUUGUCGGGACAGAAUUGUAAGUUAAACCCUUACGUAUCUUA
RNAcentral lists this transfer RNA (70 nucleotides) under Carcharhinus amblyrhynchos (grey reef shark). RNAcentral describes it as "tRNA-Asp". The record is from RNAcentral. Lineage: Eukaryota; Metazoa; Chordata; Chondrichthyes; Carcharhiniformes; Carcharhinidae.